This 533-nucleotide ribosomal RNA is filed under the name Apilactobacillus kunkeei. RNAcentral's name for it is "bacterial SSU rRNA". It matches the Rfam family "Bacterial small subunit ribosomal RNA", at positions 16 to 507 of the family's 1533-position model. The record is from RNAcentral. Lineage: Bacteria; Bacillati; Bacillota; Bacilli; Lactobacillales; Lactobacillaceae.
AUCCUGGCUCAGGACGAACGCUGGCGGCGUGCCUAAUACAUGCAAGUCGAACGAGCUCUCCCAAAUUGAUUUUAUGCUUGCAUAAAUGAUUUUUGGAUUCGGAGCGAGUGGCGAACUGGUGAGUAACACGUGGGUAACCUGCCCCRAAGCGGGGGAUAACAUUUGGAAACAAGUGCUAAUACCGCAUAAUUAGUUGGAACCGCAUGGUUCCAACUUGAAAGAUGGCUCUGCUAUCACUUUGGGAUGGACCCGCGCCGUAUUAGUUAGUUGGUGAGAUAAAAGCCCACCAAGACGAUGAUACGUAGCCGACCUGAGAGGGUAAUCGGCCACAUUGGGACUGAGACACGGCCCAGACUCCUACGGGAGGCAGCAGUAGGGAAUCUUCCACAAUGGACGAAAGUCUGAUGGAGCAACGCCGCGUGAGUGAUGAAGGUUUUCGGAUCGUAAAACUCUGUUGUUAAAGAAGAACAAGUGUUAGAGUAACUGUUAACACUUUGACGGUAUUUAACCAGAAAGCCACGGCUAACUACGUG